RNAcentral lists this ribosomal RNA (440 nucleotides) under uncultured bacterium. Its description in RNAcentral is "partial 16S ribosomal RNA". It matches the Rfam family "Bacterial small subunit ribosomal RNA", at positions 338 to 795 of the family's 1533-position model. The record is from RNAcentral.
CCUACGGGUGGCAGCAGUGGGGAAUAUUGCACAAUGGGGGAAACCCUGAUGCAGCAACGCCGCGUGAGUGAUGACGGCCUUCGGGUUGUAAAGCUCUGUCUUCAGGGAAGAAAAUGACGGUACCUGACUAAGAAGCCCCGGCUAACUACGUGCCAGCAGCCGCGGUAAUACGUAGGGGGCAAGCGUUAUCCGGAUUUACUGGGUGUAAAGGGAGCGUAGACGGCAGUGCAAGUCUGAAGUGAAAGGCAAGGGCUCAACCCUUGGACUGCUUUGGAAACUGUGCUGCUGGAGUGUCGGAGAGGCAAGUGGAAUUCCUAGUGUAGCGGUGAAAUGCGUAGAUAUUAGGAGGAACACCAGUGGCGAAGGCGGCUUGCUGGACGAUGACUGACGUUGAGGCUCGAAAGCGUGGGGAGCAAACAGGAUUAGAUACCCGGGUAGUC